UACGUAGGGUGCAAGCGUUAAUCGGAAUUACUGGGCGUAAAGCGUGCGCAGGCGGUUUUGUAAGUCUUGCGUGAAAGCCCCGGGCUUAACCUGGGAAUUGCGAUGGAGACUGCAAGGCUUGAAUCUGGCAGAGGGGGGUAGAAUUCCACGUGUAGCAGUGAAAUGCGUAGAGAUGUGGAGGAACACCGAUGGCGAAGGCAGCCCCCUGGGUCAAGAUUGACGCUCAUGCACGAAAGCGUGGGGAGCAAACAGG
Molecule: ribosomal RNA, 253 nt
Filed under: uncultured bacterium
Lineage: Bacteria
Description: partial 16S ribosomal RNA
Rfam family: Bacterial small subunit ribosomal RNA
Source: RNAcentral